AUACGGAGGAUCCGAGCGUUAUCCGGAUUUAUUGGGUUUAAAGGGAGCGUAGGCGGACGCUUUAGUCAGUUGUGAAAGUUUGCGGCUCAACCGUAAAAUUGCAGUUGAUACUGGGUGUCUUGAGUACAGUAGAGGCAGGCGGAAUUCGUGGUGUAGCGGUGAAAUGCUUAGAUAUCACGAAGAACUCCGAUUGCGAAGGCAGCCUGCUGGACUGUAACUGACGCUGAUGCUCGAAAGUGUGGGUAUCAAACAGGAUUAGAUACCCUGGUAGUCCACACAGUAAACGAUGAAUACUCGCUGUUUGCGAUAUACAGUAAGCGGCCAAGCGAAAGCGUUAAGUAUUCCACCUGGGGAGUACGCCGGCAACGGUGAAACUCAAAUGAAUUGACGGGG
RNAcentral lists this ribosomal RNA (393 nucleotides) under uncultured bacterium. Its description in RNAcentral is "partial 16S ribosomal RNA". It matches the Rfam family "Bacterial small subunit ribosomal RNA", at positions 523 to 918 of the family's 1533-position model. The record is from RNAcentral.